CCAGACUCCUACGGGAGGCAGCAGUGGGGAAUAUUGUACAAUGGGGGAAACCCUGAUGCAGCGACGCCGCGUGAAGGAAGAAGUAUUUCGGUAUGUAAACUUCUAUCAGCAGGGAAGAAAAUGACGGUACCUGACUAAGAAGCCCCGGCUAACUACGUGCCAGCAGCCGCGGUAAUACGUAGGGGGCAAGCGUUAUCCGGAUUUACUGGGUGUAAAGGGAGCGUAGGCGGUGCAGCAAGUCAGAAGUGAAAGCCCGGGGCUCAACUCCGGGACUGCUCUGGAAACUGUACGGCUGGAGUGCAGGAGAGGCAAGUGGAAUUCCUAGUGUAGCGGUGAAAUGCGUAGAUAUUAGGAGGAACACCAGUGGCGAAGGCGGCUUACUGGACUGUAACUGACGUUGAGGCUCGAAAGCGUGGGGAGCAAACAGGAUUAGAUACCCCCGUAAC
RNAcentral lists this ribosomal RNA (446 nucleotides) under uncultured bacterium. Its description in RNAcentral is "bacterial SSU rRNA". It matches the Rfam family "Bacterial small subunit ribosomal RNA", at positions 331 to 794 of the family's 1533-position model. The record is from RNAcentral.